This 472-nucleotide ribosomal RNA is filed under the name uncultured bacterium. Its description in RNAcentral is "SSU rRNA". It matches the Rfam family "Bacterial small subunit ribosomal RNA", at positions 26 to 518 of the family's 1533-position model. The record is from RNAcentral.
AGAACGAACGCUGGCGGCAUGCCUAACACAUGCAAGUCGAACGCUCUUGGGGCUUCGGUCUCAGGGGUGUGGCGCACGGGUGAGUAGCGCGUGGGAACCUGCCCUGUUGUGGGGGAUAACCGAGGGAAACUUCGGCUAAUACCGCAUAAGCCGGUUGUCUUGAAGGAGAUGGCCGGGAAAGAUUUAUCGCGACAGGAGGGGCCCGCGUCGGAUUAGCUAGUUGGUGGGGUAACGGCCCACCAAGGCGGUGAUCCGUAGCUGGUCUGAGAGGAUGAUCAGCCACACUGGGACUGAGACACGGCCCAGACUCCUACGGGAGGCAGCAGUGGGGAAUAUUGGACAAUGGGCGCAAGCCUGAUCCAGCAAUGCCGCGUGAGUGAUGAAGGCCUUAGGGUUGUAAAGCUCUUUCGCCCGCGACGAUGAUGACGGUAGCGGGAGAAGGAAGCCCCGGCUAACUCGCGCCAGCAGCCGC